This 253-nucleotide ribosomal RNA is filed under the name uncultured bacterium. RNAcentral describes it as "partial 16S ribosomal RNA". It matches the Rfam family "Bacterial small subunit ribosomal RNA", at positions 524 to 776 of the family's 1533-position model. The record is from RNAcentral.
UACAGAGGGUGCGAGCGUUGUCCGGAUUUAUUGGGCGUAAAGAGCGUGUAGGCGGCCAUACAGGUCCGUUGUGAAAACUCGAGGCUUAACCUCGAGACGUCGAUGGAAACCGUAUGGCUAGAGUCCGGAAGAGGAGAGUGGAAUUCCUGGUGUAGCGGUGAAAUGCGCAGAUAUCAGGAAGAACACCCGUGGCGAAGGCGGCUCUCUGGGACGGUACUGACGCUGAGACGCGAAAGCGUGGGGAGCGAACAGG